RNAcentral lists this ribosomal RNA (615 nucleotides) under uncultured bacterium. RNAcentral describes it as "bacterial SSU rRNA". The stretch from base 1 to 525 matches the Rfam family "Bacterial small subunit ribosomal RNA", at positions 338 to 873 of the family's 1533-position model. The record is from RNAcentral.
CCUACGGGAGGCAGCAGUGGGGAAUAUUGCACAAUGGGCGAAAGCCUGAUGCAGCGACGCCGCGUGAGGGAUGACGGCCUUCGGGUUGUAAACCUCUUUCAGUAGGGAAGAAGCGAAAGUGACGGUACCUGCAGAAGAAGCGCCGGCUAACUACGUGCCAGCAGCCGCGGUAAUACGUAGGGCGCAAGCGUUAUCCGGAAUUAUUGGGCGUAAAGAGCUCGUAGGCGGUUUGUCGCGUCUGCCGUGAAAGUCCGGGGCUCAACUCCGGAUCUGCGGUGGGUACGGGCAGACUAGAGUGAUGUAGGGGAGACUGGAAUUCCUGGUGUAGCGGUGAAAUGCGCAGAUAUCAGGAGGAGCACCGAUGGCGAAGGCAGGUCUCUGGGCAUUAACUGACGCUGAGGAGCGAAAGCAUGGGGAGCGAACAGGAUUAGAUACCCUGGUAGUCCAUGCCGUAAACGUUGGGCACUAGGUGUGGGGGACAUUCCACGUUUUCCGCGCCGUAGCUAACGCAUUAAGUGCCCCGCCGUGGGGAGGUACGGCCGCGACGACGUAAACCGUACAAUAGAAGUUAGACGGCGUGAGACGUGCCGACGGACGACGACGAGGGAGGUUAGG